AUGAUCCUUCUUAAUUUAAUGCCAAAUUAGAGUUUUUACUCCAAUUUCAUGGUCCACUUAACAUAGAAAAUGAUAGUGCAAGUUUCAGGUUCAAGUUUUUGGUCAAGGUAGUUUUUGAUGAAGUUGAAGUCCAAUCAACUUGAAACUUAGUAUACAUGUUCCCUAUGAUAUGAUCUUUCUAAUUUUAUGCCAAAUUAAAGUUUUUACUCCAAUUUCAAGUUCCACUGAACACAGAAAAUGAUAGUGCGAGUGGGGCAUCCGUGUACUAUGGACACAUUCUUGUCUUAAAAAGUGAUUUUUUUUUCGUUUCAAACCUUUGACAUUGCCAUAUUGAGAAAAGGGGUAGGCAUCAGUACACACAAUUCCUUCUAGAUCUUAAUCAAUAUAUUUCAAUUUAAUACAUGAUUCUAAUGUGCAUUACCUUUUGGGAAUAUAUACCAUAUUACAACAUGUAGUACCAACC
Molecule: long non-coding RNA, 463 nt
Filed under: Mytilus galloprovincialis (Mediterranean mussel)
Lineage: Eukaryota; Metazoa; Mollusca; Bivalvia; Mytilida; Mytilidae
Source: RNAcentral